Molecule: ribosomal RNA, 253 nt
Filed under: uncultured bacterium
Lineage: Bacteria
Description: partial 16S ribosomal RNA
Rfam family: Bacterial small subunit ribosomal RNA
Source: RNAcentral
UACGUAGGUGGCAAGCGUUGUCCGGAUUUACUGGGCGUAAAGCGAACGCAGGCGGACUUUUAAGUAGGAAGUGAAAGGUUGGAGCUCAACUCCGGCACUGCUCCCUAUACUGGAAGUCUUGAGUUUUGGAGAGGAAAGCGGAACGACACGUGUAGCGGUGAAAUGCGUUGAUAUGUGUCGGAACACCGAUGGCGAAAGCAGCUUUCUGGACAAACACUGACGCUGAGGUUCGAAAGCCAAGGGAGCGAACAGG